UCGGGAAUCUUCCGCUUUGGACGAAAGACUCACGUCGCCGCGCCGCUUGAGAUUCGACUUUCUUCUCCUUGUAAAGCUCUGUUAAUCUUCCAUCCAGGCCUUCUUGCGAAUAGUUAACUUUUUUGACGGACCGAGAAUCCGCGCGCCCGCGAAUUACGUGCCAUCAGUCGCGAUAAUGCUUGCGUGGCAAGCGUUGUCCGGAAUUAUGGGGCGUAAAGCGCCCGGGGUUUGUAUGCUGGGUCCGUCUAUCCAGCUCGCUGUUCAACCGAGUGAUGUUCUGCCAACUGCAAAUAUCUAUACUACCAGAAGGCCGUGGAAUUUCNAGCGGAGCUGUUCCAUGCGACUUUCUUCCAAAGAACACCAUUCGCGAAUGCUACNUUCUGGACGAAGACUGAAUUCGAGGCGCGAAAGCUCNAUUAGCNANCGGGAGUGUNUAANNANANUNGACUGGCGNNNUUUUACANNNCUAGGACNNGGNAAAGACNNCNACCCCCUUCCUGUGCCGGAGUUAACGCAAUAAGUACCCCGCCUGGGGAGUACGACCGCNAGUUG
RNAcentral lists this ribosomal RNA (552 nucleotides) under uncultured bacterium. RNAcentral's name for it is "partial 16S rRNA". It matches the Rfam family "Bacterial small subunit ribosomal RNA", at positions 355 to 896 of the family's 1533-position model. The record is from RNAcentral.